Long non-coding RNA from Oncorhynchus masou masou (cherry salmon), 3342 nucleotides. RefSeq lists it as uncharacterized. The transcript is spliced from 2 exons. Lineage: Eukaryota; Metazoa; Chordata; Actinopteri; Salmoniformes; Salmonidae. The record is from RefSeq and is a predicted model, not a curated record.
CCACUUUGAGAGGAAGUAUAUCCUCAUUCGGUGUACGUCUCACAAGCUAUCAACAUCAGCAGGAGCAGAAUAAGUUAUCUGGUACCAUGGCCCUAUUGGAGCUCUAGGAGAUGGUUUUAACAUGGAAGCAUCUUCUUCAGGGAGAUCUACAGGACGUUUUCAGCCAGGUGUUUUAUUUUAUCAUUUCUCGCUCAGGUCCUCUUUAGGCUUCUUAUCUUUAUUGACAAUAAUAAAAUGUAUGGUUUAUAUCCACCAUUGUGGAUAUGGUAGUUCUCAAUGACAUGAUUUUGUGCGUUAUAUGCAGUCAAGUUGAUCAUUAUUAGCAAUCUUGAUAAAGAUUAGCAAAAAAUACUACAAUACUAUAAUAUAUAAAUAUGUAAUAUAAAAUAAACCAUACAAAUGUUGAGCUAUAUGGUAAGUAAAAAAUUAGGAAAUUUUAUACUAAUACAAUUGUUUAGAGAAAUAUAUAUUUGUAACAAGUCAUACAAAAACAAUCUAAAAAGAUAGGGGUCAAAAUGAUUGGCACCCCUGUUUUCAAUACUCCAGCACCCUCUCUUUGAGAGGAUAAUUACACUGUUACACUGAGCCUUAAUCUAAAAUGUUUUACGAGAUUGGAGAACACUUUGGGAGAGAUCUUAGACCAUUCCUCCAUUCAGAAUCUUUCCAGAUCCUUGAUAUCAUUUGCCUGCUCUUAUGGACUACCCUCUUCAAUUCCAACCACAGGAUACUGAUAUGGCCAUUGCACAAUGUUGAUUUUGUGAUUAUAUUGAUUGGUGCUUGGGGUUAUUGUCUUUUGGAAGUGUAAGCCUCCUGGCAGAGACAACCAGGUUUUUGGCUAAAAUGUCCUGGUACUUGGUAAAGUUCAUGAUGCCGUUGACCUUACGGGCCCCAGGACCAGUGGAAGCAAAUCAUCUUACUGGGAUGAGUAAGCAGUUAGCGGACAGCAGACAAAGCUACAGUAUGAGGUCGGGAGCCCUUGGCACCAUGGGCUGGAAUGCCCCAGAGGUCCUGGAUGACAGCAGGAAAGUAAACCCUGUGAGUGGCUCCUGAUCUUUACACUGGACCAGAGAACUGUUCAAGUCAUUACAGAUUCAGAGAUAAUCCAGAAAGAAAUGUGAUGAAAUAGGCUAAUUGGCAUUUCCUUACAGGAGUUAAACAGGAAUGGCCCAUUGCUUGAAGGAACAGUUCACCCUAAAAUCAAAGUUGAUCUUCUGUUGUGGAGAUCAAGCUCCAGUAUAUUACACAUACGUACAUAAGAAAGAUAGGCACCAUCUACACAACCAUGGUGUGGGAUGUGGACUAUGCUCGACAUUAGACCACUUUUGGGGAUAAAAGAUGAACCACUUUCCAUCCUUAAGUUUAUGCCAGUAAAGUCAUAUUAUAUAUAUAUUUUUUUUUUAAAUGUGAUGGAACCAGGAAGUUUAGGUACAAUUUUAUGAUUGCCAAUAGAUAAUUUGUUCGUUCGACAUGGUGGGAUCUUUUGUGCCUGUAAAAUGAAUUAUGUGAGAAAUGGCAGUGGAAACGGCUUUAUGCGCAAAUAUUGAUAUAAUAACCACCAUACUGAAGUAAACUUGGAGUCACACGAUGAUAUUUUGUGUGGUCCUCCCACUACGAAUUUGUUGGCUAGAGAGCACAUGCCAAGACCAGAGUAGGCACAUUUCUAUUUAAUGCAACAGCUUUUGUGACAAAACUAUUGGUAGAAUUGAAAAUACAAUGGAAACACAUUCAACUUCUGAGUUUUAUUCGGUACAUGAAAACUUAAGUGAAAAAGUACAUUUUGUGUACACUAUGUCAUCACACUGAUUUUUAUCCACAGAUUUAUAUCCUUAACUAGUUUUAUCCUCAACAUAUUUGCUUACUAAAUAUGCUACCUGUAUAUGAAAUAAAUGUUGAGACAGAUUAAGUUCACUGUGACUGUUGCAUUCAUGAGUUUUUAACUUGCACUAUAUAGUAAUUUUCCUAUUUAGCUCGUUGGUAUGUUUUAGUUUUCAUGCCUUGUGGAGAACUAGUCGGCUGAAGAUUUCCUGACAGGUAGACUAUAUUUAUAGGAUAUCUAACUUUAAACCAGGACAUUGUGAGGUAUUUCAAUCUUGCUGCAUUAUGAGACUUGACGAGGGAUUGGUGUGUUUUACAGGUUUUAGAAUAAAUUAUUAGAAUGUACUCUAUGGAAUACUCAUUGCAUGUAUUUUCUCUUGCCAGAUCUAUGUAAAUUCUGGUUGUAUAAAGGAGGGUCUGUCAGAGAUCUUCUCUGUGCCAUAAGAAACAAGGUAUGGGUGUCUUUCCAGCUAAAUGGAACAACAAUACUUUUAUGAUGUACUAUUUAUGGCUGGAGGGAAGGAGUGACAGAAUUAUAAUUUGAUGUAACCGUGUAUGUAUAACCUUCUCUGUGCAACAGCCUCGUAUGUGUGUUUACCUGAUUAAAGAUGGAUGUUUACAUGAAUCGCUUUUUCUUUGUCCCCUCCUAUAGAAGCACUCUGAUUAAAUGUUCUCUUACCUCCUCCCUAAGGCAUAACUGUCGUUUUCUACCAAACACAGGUUACAGUGCUCAGACAAGGGAAGGGCAACUUCUUUGACAGCUCUGUGAUUUGGGCAGGACUGAAAUGAUGCCCUAACUUUAUUCCACAGCUCUCACUCUUCACUAUACAGAGAGGACAGAACCCCCAGGUGCUGCUUUGUUCUUCGCCUACAAUGCAUUUAAACACAGUGAUAAUGUUGCUUAUUUUUUUGAGGUGAGUUGAAAACAUGAUUUGCUUAUGUAUUUAGACAGUAGCAGCUCUUUGGCAUUAAGCAAUUACACACACACACCCCGUGCCCAAGGCCACAGAGCCACUGCAGACACUGUGGCUCUGUCCUGUACUGGUGAGGACCAGGCCUGCAUUGCCCGGGAGCCGCCGACAGGGGGAGCAGCAAAACAAACCAGGCUCAGAAUGUAUCCGUCCUCAAGGUCCCCCGAAGCAUCAAGAAGCCAGGGUGGAAAUGAACUAGUUUAGGCCAUACUGUGUAGUAUAGAGAUAAUAUUUUAUUUUCACUAGAAUCUCUCCUAAUGUCAAGUAUUCUGAGGUAUUUAAGUAUUGUACAUAUUAUCUUGAAUAACCGGUUUACAUAUUACAUUGACUCUGUACUGGUACACCCUGUAUAUAGCCUCACUAUUGUUAUUUUACUGCUGCUCUUUAAUUAUUUGUUACUUUUAUUUUUUAUUUAUCUAUUUUUUACUUAACACUUAUUUUUCUUAAACCCUCAUUGUUUUAAGGGCUUGUAUAAGUAAGCAUUUCACUGUAAGGUGAAAUGUUGUAUUUGGUGCAUGUGACAAAUAAAAUUGGAUUUGAUGUGUUGGGCACAAAA